ACGAACGCUGGCGGCGUGCCUAACACAUGCAAGUCGCACGAGAAAUCCUGGGCAACCGGGAAAGUAAAGUGGCGCACGGGUGAGUAACGCGUGGGUAACCUGCCCUUGAGUUGGGGAUAACCCCCGCGAAAGCGGGGCUAAUACCGAAUAAUAUGUCAGUCUCUAUGGGGAUUGAAAUCAAAGGUAGCCUCUGCAUGCAAGCUAUUGCUCAAGGAUGGGCCCGCGUACCAUUAGCUUGUUGGUAGGGUAAUGGCCUACCAA
Molecule: ribosomal RNA, 261 nt
Filed under: uncultured bacterium
Lineage: Bacteria
Description: partial 16S ribosomal RNA
Rfam family: Bacterial small subunit ribosomal RNA
Source: RNAcentral